GAGAACAAGCUGUCCGAGUGGAAGUUGAACUCAUUUCAAGCUCUCUUUUGGGAGGAGAAGGUUGCAAAAGGAAGAUGGGGAAAGUCAACGUUUUGCUGAAACGGAGUUACGUCUGCACGAUAAGUGUGAUAGCGAUAACCGCUGUCCUCACCUUAGGAAUAACCGUCUUCAGUCAUGGAAUGCUUCUGGACGAGGAGGAUGUCCAUAUUUUCAAGGGGAUAUAUUCCUUGUAUGGGGUUUCUGUCAUCCCUCUCCUCUUUGCCAUCAUUGGCGGGUUUGGUGUCUGGAAGGAGAAAAAGUGGGCUCUGAUAGUGUUUGCAGUCGGAAUGAUCCUGGGAUGUCUGUUCUUCAUCGUUCUUGAAAUAUCCCUUCCAUUUGCAUAUCAACAGAUGGAACUUAUGGUGAAGAAUAAAUACCUCAGCUUGUUGCCUCUCUCAAAUUUAAGUGAGAGUGAAUUAUUGGAAUUCGACUAUACACAGAGUGAGUUUCACUGUUGUGGGUUAACAAGUCUCGAGGACUGGGAAAACAACAUUCCCGAAUCAUGCCAGUGUGACAUAGACUCCUCUGAUGAAUGCGUUGAUACUCAUGGAUCUAUGCGCAACGAUUCUGGACUGAAUUCUUCGAAUGUCAAGCCCAUCAGGAUUUAUGCCAAGCCAUGUCUUCCAGUCUUAAUUCAACUUGAGAUGAGCCAUGUUUCCAUAUUCAUUGGCAUAACGUUGGCAAAAACAUUGCUCUGGUUACUGUCAGUCGGGCUGUGCAUUGCAGUUCUGUGUCAGCUGAAUAAAAAGGUGGAUACUCCAAACGUGGUGUACAGUCGGGAGGCCAAGGCAGGGAGUUAUGACAUUCUCAACGAUGCUCAGGAACCGUCUUUGAAAACCGAAUAAUUCUGUUUUUCUUUUGCGAUUCCCAAAUAUCGGGACAACAAUGUUAGCAUUUAUCAGUGCAACUUUAUAAUCAGUGGGGAGGCUUCUGGAAACCGUCUUUGCGUUUAGAGAGGUUUGGUUUGUACUUUUUUAUUAUUUUUUUUAAAUCUUUUGUUGAUGUCUUUAACUUACAGGUGACUCAUUAAAAGUGAAUAAUUUGUGCGUCUAAUUUCAUCACACAGUCGGGCGAUACACGGUAAUAUAUUUGUAUUUAUUUCUGUUCAUUUUGAUGCUUAUGUGUAACAUGAUUUUAAAAAAAAACAAAAAACAAAUUCAAAUAAUAAAAAAGACACAAACCAAUGAAAAUAAACUGUUGGUUGGAUGAAAGUUCUACGUUCAGGACUGUUUCCUCCACUGACCACUAGGGGUCCUCAUGCUGGAGGACCACCUUUGUUCCUUGGAAAACGUCACACUGUGUGUGUGUUUGUGUCUCAAAAACCCCCCAAAAACUUUUAAAUAUUUUAACUGAGCCAUACAUGUUAUACAUAUUGUUCCUCUGGAACUUAAAUACUACAACACGUACAAUGUUAUAAACUUUGAUUUAUCUUUUUUCAUAAUACUGGUUGGGAAUGAUGUGACUUCACAUUUUUCAUCUCCUUUUUCAAGCUUUUAUAUUGAUUAAAUAAAAAAAUCACACCAUUUAUUUUGUGAAUACAUGUUUUUCCUCCUCCACAUUGUAUAUAUAUAUAUGUUUUUUAAAAAAAGCCAACCUUUAAACAGUCGGUAACUACGUGUAACACACGUAUGAGCACAAAUGUUAAAGUCGUAAUAAAUCACACCACAACAAAUUUUAAGCGAAAAUCACAAAUCAAAUUUUUAUUCCUACUAUUUACAGAACAUUAUUUAAGGUUCACAUUGUAAAUAAAUAAUAAUAAUAAAUAAAAAAAAAACAGUGACUGCAUAAAUAAAGUUGCCAUAACUUUAAACAAUGUACUGCAUAUCAGGCAUUUAUGGUUUAAGUGCACAGGUAGAUGAAUUUCAUUUCAAAAUGUUUAACCUCUUACUGCAGGUAGCUCGUGCAGAAAAAUCAAUACUUAUGGUGGUGAGUUGUUCAAAAGUCUCCAGUGGAAUUUCUGCUAGAAAGCUGAUGACUUAUUUCCCAACAAGAAUCUCUCUAGAACCUCGGUGCAGGUCAGCAUUUCUUUUUUUUCCAAAUCAAAAGACGGUCUAACUGCAUUUCUACUCCAUGUGCAACAAAAACCAAGACAUCUCUUCAGCCGUGUUAAUCUGAUCAAACAUCAUUCACUCAUUUAAUGUGCUUUUUCAACAAAAAAAAAAACCUGCAAUGACAACAUUUCAGUUAUAUACAAUGUGCAUAACAAGAGGUCAAGACAUUCAAUGAGAAAUGUGCCUCAUUCUGUUGGUCUAACCUGAUUAUAUAUGCAAGAAAUACUUGAUUAUAUUCAAUAGAAGCAUUUGUAAACACUGUUUU
This is an RNA transcript of Xiphophorus hellerii (green swordtail), 2355 nucleotides long. It is a transcript of the gene named tetraspanin-3-like, with no coding region annotated. NCBI's taxonomy places the organism in Eukaryota, Metazoa, Chordata, Actinopteri, Cyprinodontiformes, Poeciliidae. The record is from RefSeq and is a predicted model, not a curated record. The transcript is spliced from 10 exons.